AAAGGAAAGAGGAUGCCUCUGGUUGGAGGAAACUUGAAGGGCUAUGAUAUCCUCAAGUGAAGAUUAUUUUUGGUGGUGGAUAUAUUGCUGUUGAGUUUGCUUCUAUCUGGAGAGGCUUAGGUGGUGAAGUAGACUUGUUUUAUAGAAAAGAACUUCCUCUGAGGUUUCGAUGAUGAGAUGAGAUCAAUUGUUGCAACUAACCUUGAGGGAAGGGGAGUCAGAUUGCGUCCAGCAACAAAUUUAACUGAGGUCGCGGGUCGAACUCCUAUAGGCUGAACUUAGUGUUGAGGUUCAUCAAGUAGGGCAAAUAAGGAAAGAAGACAAAUCAAGGAUUCACCAUUAAUUUCGGGAUUGUGUAACUUCACGUCUGUUUAGGCUGGUUAAUACUCCAGUACACCAGUUCCAAAUAUAUGGGCCGUGGGUGAUGUAAGAAAUCGGAUCAACCUUACACCUGUUGCUCUGAUGGAGGCUACUUGCGUUUCUAAAACUGUGUUUGGUGGCCAGCCAAUUAAGCCCGAUUACAAAUAUGUACCUUGUGCUUUUUUCUGGUAAGUAAUUGCCAUGAUUACAAAGAUGUACCUUGUGCUGUUUUCUGGUACGUGGACCUUAACCAGGCGCGUGAGCCCAGCAUCUAAGCCAAAGAUGAACCUGUAAGCAAGGUUCGGAACGUUUUGGGCCAAAUAUAUACCUUUGUCUGGUUUGCUUUGGCUAGGGGAACUCUAGAAGCUGACUUCAGU
Molecule: long non-coding RNA, 737 nt
Organism: Lolium rigidum
Lineage: Eukaryota; Viridiplantae; Streptophyta; Magnoliopsida; Poales; Poaceae
Exons: 7
Source: RefSeq, a predicted model, not a curated record